This 432-nucleotide ribosomal RNA is filed under the name uncultured bacterium. RNAcentral describes it as "partial 16S ribosomal RNA". It matches the Rfam family "Bacterial small subunit ribosomal RNA", at positions 29 to 507 of the family's 1533-position model. The record is from RNAcentral.
AACGAACGCUGGCGGCAGGCCUACACAUGCAAGUCGAGCGCGCCCUUCGGGGUGAGCGGCGGACGGGUGAGUAACGCGUGGGAACGUGCCCUUUUCUACGGAAUAGCCUCGGGAAACUGAGAGUAAUACCGUAUACGCCCUUUGGGGGAAAGAUUUAUCGGAAAAGGAUCGGCCCGCGUUGGAUUAGGUAGUUGGUGGGGUAAUGGCCUACCAAGCCGACGAUCCAUAGCUGGUUUGAGAGGAUGAUCAGCCACACUGGGACUGAGACACGGCCCAGACUCCUACGGGAGGCAGCAGUGGGGAAUCUUAGACAAUGGGGGCAACCCUGAUCUAGCCAUGCCGCGUGAGUGAUGAAGGCCUUAGGGUUGUAAAGCUCUUUCAGCUGGGAAGAUAAUGACGGUACCAGCAGAAGAAGCCCCGGCUAACUCCGUG